CACCACCCUCUUUCAGCACACCUUCUUCCUGGCUGCCUCCUGCUCUCGGGCCUAAUCUCAACUCUUGGGGGGCUUGGUGAUAGCUGGUGGAUGUUUUGUCUGCUUAUCAUACCUUCUCAUCCUCCUUCUUCAGGUUACGGCACUCUUCCUGUUUGGUAUUCGUUCCCUCUUUUCCUGGUGUUCUUGGUGAGGGUCCCCUCCCCCACUGGUGAGGAGGAUUCCCACCCCCUCACCCCCACAGUCCCGUGACCCAAGCAGGACCAAUCAGGGCCGUAUCUGAACUUCACCUAAGGGAGGUGGGAAAAAAGUCUUCUUUGUGGGUGGAUCUGAGGCUACGGCUCCAGGAAGCCAUCUUCCUGUGUGAGGUGGAGGGAGGCUGUGUGGAGAAACAAGCAGGGUGGGUGUUGGGUGUGGGAGGAAGAGAGAGUGAAUCCUGGUGUUAGGGAAUUCUCUCGAGGCCUGGUUUCUGCAGCUCACUCUUCAGGCAUGUGAAUAGCCCGAGUAUCCUUCCCAGGUGGAUAGCAGUGCGGGAAGCUGGCGUCUGGAAUCACCAUGGUGACUUUGAUUUCUAGCUGUGAGGAAGAACAUGCCCACGUGGCCAUUUCUCCAGCACCAUGGUAUCUAUGGGCACAGAAGAUAUCUGCAGAGAUCAUGGGGGCAGGAUCCGGGAGCAUCCACACUGACAGCUGGACACUUCCUGCCAGUGCAUUCUAGGGAGAGCUGACCUCUAGCAUCCUCUGUAGUGACCAACAGAAAUUGAAGAUCAAAACAAUACCUUUUGAAAGAAUUGGCAAAGGAAUACAAGAGGACCCGACACCUGGAUGAUGCAGCUCCUGGUGGACAGAGGUCUUCAGAUGGAAUCCCUACCAUGACCUAAAAAACUCUACAAAAUCUGGCUUCGGCUCUCCACGCAUUCCCCUCUGUCCUCAGUGUCUUUGUUCUGGUUCUUGAAAUGUCAGCCAUGGUUUAUGGUCUGUGUCUCCCCUUGAGACUGUCUUCUCCCAGAUAUUUUUUCAUGCUUCAUACUUUGUACACCGCGUACCCUUUUCUGAUUUCUUUUUAUAAAAUAGCAUCCCCCAACCAAUAGUGUUUCUUGACCUUACUUAAUUUUUCAUCUUAACCUCUGACAUAGUAUUACAUAAUUAUUUGAUCAUUUAUUUCUUGCUCUUGUCUCCCACUGAAAUGGAAGACCCACCAGGGCAGGGACAUUACCUACUUCGUGGCUUUAUCCUUCAUGCCUAGAACAGAAUGGCAUAUAGUCCUAGAAUUCUAAAUUGAUGCUCAUUCAUGUGUUCCUCCUGCAUGUUUUCUUUGUGAUUUAAAUUAUGUCUUUCUGCAGGGACAAGAGCUUUGCCUUCUAUUUUUGUUUUAUUUCCUGAAUUUCCUUUGGAUAAUUAAUAAAUAGCUUUGACCCGCCUUUAUUAUUUCCGUUCAACCAAUUUGUUUGUCAUGGCUUAAAGAACUAGUUAGAAAUUUGGCUGCGGAGAGGUAAGCUAGGUUUUGAAGGCCUCUAAACAUGACUCAGCCAAUUCAUUAUGUAAACUUUGCCACCAUAGACUGUUGAACAUGGGCAAGACUAAGAGAAUUUUGUAAGGGGAUUUAAAGCAGAUGAUGGGAGGGAGGACUCCCUGAUUUGUUUAUUAUUUAUGCUGUACUAGGAAAAACAAUGGUUACUGGUUAUCAUAGUCUAAUUACUGGUUAUUAGACUAUAGACUAUAAGUCCAUGAAGGUAGAGAUCUUGCUCUCUUGCUCACCUGUAUUCAGGACCUAGAAUAGUGUCUAGUAUAUAGUUGGGGUUCAACAGAUGUUUUGAAUGAAUCACCAAAUGAAAGAAGGAAUAUUGCCAUUGGGGGAGGGGGCAGGAGGAUACUCUGGAAAGCAAUACCGGUAGUAUUUCUUAUGCAUAUGCCUUUUUUUCACACUUCUGUUAUCAGCAGAAUAAAUCAGAGUCCUAUCACCACA
This is a long non-coding RNA of Felis catus (domestic cat), 1962 nucleotides long. RefSeq lists it as uncharacterized. The transcript has 3 exons. NCBI's taxonomy places the organism in Eukaryota, Metazoa, Chordata, Mammalia, Carnivora, Felidae. The record is from RefSeq and is a predicted model, not a curated record.